AACAAUCUUGUUUAUUUUGUUUGCAGCGAUGAGUAUCCUCUCUUUGUACCAUCCCAUGAUUACUUCUCAGUUGAAGGGAAAAGUUCCUGGACAGGUAGAGACACAACCAAUUUUGGUGUCACUUCACUGAAAUCAGAUGGAAGUGUAGAAGAAGAUUACCAUGACCUCGACGUGGUCAACCUCUCCUCUGCAUCUCCACAUUCUGCCGAAACGUUCAGAAAUGUGCAGAGAGGGAUUGCGCAUCUCAAGCAAAGCGUGGCUCACUUAACUGCGUAUGGAUACAGUUCCCUGUCUAUGGAAGUUCCUUCUGGAAUUCUGUAUACUCAUGUGUUAUUAAGUACGUUUUAUGGGAUAGUUUUACAAAAUCUAACUAUGCUCAGGUGACGGUAGAGGGCCAUAACAAGUAUGGGAGUAGUGGACAGUAUGAUCAGAUCUGCAAUGCUGUCCUACCACAAGGUCUCAACCCACUCUCUGUUCCGCCAAAAGAGCUGGCAGCCUCUUUAGGGUAACACAACACACGACCUUGUAUUUUUUUAAAUGUCAAUUUGUUGUACGAAAUUGUUUAAGAAAGAUGGAGGUUCAUCCCCUCAGUGCAUCUUUACACUCCUGCAGGCCAUUGUAGUCCAUACUAUCUUUAAUAUUUCAUUCUGUAGUUUAAUGAAUUAACACAUUCCCAUGGUUGGUGGUUGGAUCAGGUACAUGGUGCAGCUUCUGAAUCUUGUUGUCCAUAAGCUCGCAGUGCCUGCACUCCAUAACUUGGGUUUUGGGGUAUGAUGCCAACACAUCCUUAACUCGAUUUUAUUCUAAACAGUUGCCUUAGUCUUGGAAGAUUACACACACUUGCACUCACACUCACUAAUCCAGUGUUUUAUAUAUUAUUUUUUUUUUGUCUCAGGGUUCUUGUUCAAGAAUAUGGCAACGAGAUUCAUAUUGGAAAUCUCACCCGUCUUCUCCAAGGUGAACCAUAUUUUACAUUAAACGGAUUGUUUGUUUCUCUUUUCUCCAUUACAUUUGGAGAUGUAAACAAUCUUGUUUAUUUUGUUUGCAGCGAUGAGUAUCCUCUCUUUGUACCAUCCCAUGAUUACUUCUCAGUUGAAGGGAAAAGUUCCUGGACAGGUAGAGACACAACCAAUUUUGGUGUCACUUCACUGAAAUCAGAUGGAAGUGUAGAAGAAGAUUACCAUGACCUCGACGUGGUCAACCUCUCCUCUGCAUCUCCACAUUCUGCCGAAACGUUCAGAAAUGUGCAGAGAGGGAUUGCGCAUCUCAAGCAAAGCGUGGCUCACUUAACUGCGUAUGGAUACAGUUCCCUGUCUAUGGAAGUUCCUUCUGGAGCCUCG
This 1340-nucleotide long non-coding RNA is filed under the name Brassica napus (rape). RNAcentral's name for it is "long non-coding RNA (BNAP_LNC019333)". Lineage: Eukaryota; Viridiplantae; Streptophyta; Magnoliopsida; Brassicales; Brassicaceae. The record is from RNAcentral.